Molecule: non-coding RNA, 21 nt
Filed under: Arabidopsis thaliana (thale cress)
Lineage: Eukaryota; Viridiplantae; Streptophyta; Magnoliopsida; Brassicales; Brassicaceae
Source: RNAcentral
UCUAUGAUUGGUGUCAAUCGC